Molecule: non-coding RNA, 181 nt
Filed under: Pseudomonadota bacterium
Lineage: Bacteria; Pseudomonadati; Pseudomonadota
Also listed under: 2 other names
Description: 6S RNA
Rfam family: 6S / SsrS RNA
About the family: E. coli 6S RNA was the first non coding RNA to be sequenced, but its function was unknown until recently. It consists of 184 nucleotides that fold into an extended hairpin structure with a large single-stranded internal bulge.
Source: RNAcentral
GGUUCUCUGCCGUGUGCGAGGCGGGUCGAUAGCCCCGAUCCAACACGGAGUCCCAGGGAGCCCGUCUCCGACCGUGGAGGGUUCCCGCGUGAUCAGCGUGGGCGACGAAUCGGUCGGGAGGGCACCCACCUACGAGCGUAGGGUUCGGGGGCUAUGAUCCGCACGGCACGGCGGAGAGCAC